RNAcentral lists this transfer RNA (81 nucleotides) under Setomelanomma holmii. It matches the Rfam family "tRNA". From Rfam's summary of the family: Transfer RNA (tRNA) molecules are approximately 80 nucleotides in length. Their secondary structure includes four short double-helical elements and three loops (D, anti-codon, and T loops). Further hydrogen bonds mediate the characteristic L-shaped molecular structure. tRNAs have two regions of fundamental functional importance: the anti-codon, which is responsible for specific mRNA codon recognition, and the 3' end, to which the tRNAs corresponding amino acid is attached (by aminoacyl-tRNA synthetases). tRNAs cope with the degeneracy of the genetic code in two manners: having more than one tRNA (with a specific anti-codon) for a particular amino acid; and 'wobble' base-pairing, i.e. permitting non-standard base-pairing at the 3rd anti-codon position. Lineage: Eukaryota; Fungi; Ascomycota; Dothideomycetes; Pleosporales; Phaeosphaeriaceae. The record is from Rfam by way of RNAcentral.
GGCGUGGUGGCGGAGUGGUUAUCGCGCAAGACUAGAAAUCUUGUUCCUUCGGGAGCGCAGGUUCGAGUCCUGCCCACGUCG